ACGCCCAUGGUUUCUACCACUGCAUCGAGUGUGAUACGAUAUUUAUCCACUCGAGACAGUUAAAUUUUCAAAUUUUAAACACGAAACUUGCCGAGCGAUUUAAAAUUUAACUGUCGAGAGUGGAUACAUAUCGUAUUUCACGAGAUUUGGUGGUAGAAUCUUUUUCUGU
This 169-nucleotide small RNA is filed under the name Mytilus galloprovincialis (Mediterranean mussel). The record is from RNAcentral. Lineage: Eukaryota; Metazoa; Mollusca; Bivalvia; Mytilida; Mytilidae.